This 253-nucleotide ribosomal RNA is filed under the name uncultured bacterium. Its description in RNAcentral is "partial 16S ribosomal RNA". It matches the Rfam family "Bacterial small subunit ribosomal RNA", at positions 524 to 776 of the family's 1533-position model. The record is from RNAcentral.
UACAGAGGUCUCGAGCGUUGUUCGGAUUCAUUGGGCGUAAAGGGCGCGUAGGCGGCGGGGUAAGUCUGGUGUGAAAUCUCGGGGCUCAACUCCGAAAUUGCACUGGAUACUGCUCUGCUAGAGGGCUGGAGAGGAGAUCGGAAUUCACGGUGUAGCAGUGAAAUGCGUAGAUAUCGUGAGGAAGACCAGUGGCGAAGGCGGAUCUCUGGACAGCUCCUGACGCUGAGGCGCGAAGGCUAGGGGAGCAAACGGG